Molecule: ribosomal RNA, 662 nt
Filed under: uncultured fungus
Lineage: Eukaryota; Fungi
Description: eukaryotic LSU rRNA
Rfam family: Eukaryotic large subunit ribosomal RNA
Source: RNAcentral
CCCGCUGAACUUAAGCAUAUCAAUAAGCGGAGGAAAAGAAACUAACAAGGAUUCCCCUAGUAACUGCGAGUGAAGCGGGAAAAGCUCAAAUUUAAAAUCUGGCGGUCCUCUGGGCCGUCCGAGUUGUAAUCUGGAGAAGCGUUUUCCGCGUCGGACCGUGUACAAGUCUUCUGGAACGGAGCGUCAUAGAGGGUGAGAAUCCCGUCUCUGACACGGACCGCCGAUGCUUUAUGUGAUACGCUCUCGAAGAGUCGAGUUGUUUGGGAAUGCAGCUCAAAAUGGGUGGUAAAUUCCAUCUAAAGCUAAAUAUUGGCGAGAGACCGAUAGCGAACAAGUACCGUGAGGGAAAGAUGAAAAGAACUUUGGAAAGAGAGUUAAACAGUAUGUGAAAUUGCUGAAAGGGGAACGCUUGAAGUCAGUCACGUUGACUCGGAAUCAGCUCUGCUUUUGCUGGGUGUACUUUCUUGUCAAUGGGUCAGCAUCAAUUUUGACCAUUGGAUAAAGUUGCUGGGAAUGUAGCAUCCUUUUGGAUGUGUUAUAGCCUGGUGAUGCAUACAGUGGUUGGGAUUGAGGAAUUCAGCACGCCACCAGGCCGGGUUUUGACCACGUUCGUGCUUAGGAUGCUGGCAUAAUGGCUUUAAUUGACCCGUCUUGAAACACGG